This 1047-nucleotide ribosomal RNA is filed under the name Triticum aestivum (bread wheat). RNAcentral's name for it is "partial small subunit ribosomal RNA". Lineage: Eukaryota; Viridiplantae; Streptophyta; Magnoliopsida; Poales; Poaceae. The record is from RNAcentral.
AUGGACACAGAGAGAAAGGAAUGGAAUGUGAACCUGCUCCGCCAAAUUUUUCACAGUUUUGAUGCAGAGGAAAUAUGCAAAAUCCCCAUUCCGUACAUAGACACAAAAGAUUGCAUUGCAUGGCAUUUUGAGAAGAAUGGGAUCUUUUCGGUCAGGAGUGCGUACAAGCUUGCAUCCUUCUAUAGUCAAAGUGUCCAAACAAAUCCCUCGUGUUCGAACAGAGAGGCUGGGGAUCGUAACAUUUGGGAUCUCAUUUGGAAAGCUAAGGUGCCCGAGAAGGUGAGGAUUUUUGGAUGGAGAGUCGCCACAAAUACCCUGGCCACAAAGAGAAACAAGUUUAAGAGAACAUUUGAGCUAGAACCUACCUGCAGUAUCUGCGGCAAUGGAGAGGAAGAUGAAUUUCACACCGUGAUCACUUGCACAAAGAGCAGGGCUCUCCGUGAUGCUAUGAGGAAAGAGUGGCCCUUACCUGCAGAGAAAUCAUUUAGGAACACCGGGAAUGAUUGGUAGCAGGUGCUCUUGGACACGGAACCAGAGGAUACAUGAGCAAAACUGCUUCUGCUGUUAUGGAGAUGUUGGCACUUGAGAGGGGAUACACUAAGACACAAUGGAAUGGAAUCAAUCAUGAGUUCUGUGAUUUUUCUGAGGAAGUAUGCCGAAGAUCUACAAAUGGCAGCGAUGACAGGGGAUGGGUUCAGUAAAAAUGCAGAAAGUAGCCCCUCCUGUCAUACGAUACAAUGCUCGAAGUGGUCGGGUCCUGUAGGAGAUGUUGUGAAACUGAAUACAGAUGCAGCCUUCCAGUCUGAAUCCGGUGUCUCUGCUGCAGGUGCAGUCGCAAGGGAUAUGGCUGGACAUGUGAUCGUGUCAAUAAGCAGAAAGCUGACCCCCAGCCGAACUGUUGAGGAGGCCGAGGCAAAAGCUGCUCUUGCUGGACUGCGUUCGCUAGCAAAAUACUAUAGAGGUCCUUUGAUCUUGGAACUGGACUGUCAGGCAAUCGUAAAAGAGCUGGAAGCCGGGGGGAGAACCGGUCCCAGUGUUUCGCGCUGA